GCGUAUAUUUAAGUUGUUGCGGUUAAAAAGCUCGUAGUUGGAUUUCGGGCGUGGAGGUUCGGUCCGCCGUUUCGGUGUGCACUGUCUUUCUGCGUCUUUCUGUCGGGGACGCGCUUCUGGCCUUAAUUGGCUGGGACGUGGAUUCGACGAGGUUACUUUGAAAAAAUUAGAGUGUUCAAAGCAAGCUAAAGCUCUGAAUACAUUAGCAUGGAAUAACGCGAGAGGACUCGGUCCUUAUUUUGUUGGUCUUCAAGGAUGGAGUAAUGAUUAAGAGGGACAGUUGGGGGCAUUCGUAUUUCAUUGCUAGAGGUGAAAUUCUUGGAUUUAUGAAAGAC
RNAcentral lists this ribosomal RNA (335 nucleotides) under Pycnococcus provasolii. RNAcentral describes it as "SSU rRNA". It matches the Rfam family "Eukaryotic small subunit ribosomal RNA", at positions 597 to 936 of the family's 1831-position model. The record is from RNAcentral. Lineage: Eukaryota; Viridiplantae; Chlorophyta; Pseudoscourfieldiophyceae; Pseudoscourfieldiales; Pycnococcaceae.